RNAcentral lists this long non-coding RNA (2299 nucleotides) under Homo sapiens (human). RNAcentral describes it as "non-protein coding lnc-KLHL1-10:1". The record is from RNAcentral. Lineage: Eukaryota; Metazoa; Chordata; Mammalia; Primates; Hominidae.
UAUUUUUAAUAGAGACGGGGUUUCACCAUGUUGGCCAGGAUGGUCUCGAUCUCUUGACCUCGUGAUCCCCCCCCUCAGCCACCAAAGUGCUAGGAUUACAGGCGUGAGCCACCAUGCUGGGCCGGCAACAUAUGUUAUUGAACCAGUUUGGGGUCCUCUUACCAGGUGCAGUAAUAUUGGAUAGCCACACUGAGGUUUGCAGCUGGAAAAAGGAAGGACUUUAUUUGCAGGUCACCAAGCAAGGAAGUCCAGGCAACUUAAUGGUUAAGUCCUGACCUCCCCAGUGGCUUGCAGGUAAGGGUUUUUAAAGGAAGGAGUAUGGUUUUGGCCUAAAAGAGCAAGGUAUCUUGAAGCGGGGACUUACAGUUCAUAGGUAGAUUCAAAGAGUUUCUGAUUUGCAGUUGGUUAAGGAAGAAAAGCUUUAUUUAACAAUUUGGGAUCAGCAGAAGAGAAUGUCAGCUCUGGCUCAUGAGUGGGACUUUCUCUAGGCUCCCUAGGAAGAAUUUAGAACAGAAAGAAGAAUGGGGUCAGAGUUCAGUCCCCAGUUCUCCCUUAUCUGAGGUCUGUGUGCCAGUGAAUCCAUUUGGGAGUUUCUGAAAAACAACUCAGAGACACAUGUUAAGAUGUUGCUUUUAGUUUCUAUAAAGGAACUAUCCUGUGGUUCUAGCUUAUUUGGCUACUGUUUCAAGCUGCUAUUACCUUCUUGCUUCUUAUGGUGCAUAUUCACUUCUCAGGGCAAGCUAGUGCCUGAAAUUUCCCUUGAAGAAACUCAAGGUUUUCCUACAUUUCCAUGUUUGGGGGUCCCAAAAUCCCCUAAGAGUGGUGAUCUCUGCUCUGUUUGGCAUAUACUAGAAACUAGUGGGGUAAAUGGUGUAUCCAUAAACUUUUAAUCCGUGUCCUACAUUUACAGGAAUUUUCAUGGGCUGGAAAAUUAAAACACACUGAAAAUCCUUUAAACUGAAUUGUUAACCCAUUUCAAAAUGAGUGUUCCCAGGACAUGCUAAUAAAUUCAUUAUGUCAUGUUUAUGUUUGGAAUCUCAUAAAGGCAGUUUCUAGAACAGCCCUCUCUGGUGUUUCAUAGAUGCAGCUCUCAGGAUACCUUGUACUAACAUAAUGUAUACUCUGACAUCUUCCAUUUAGGGAGGCCUUAAGGCUCUGAGCUCGUUUUUCUGUUGACCAUUUUCACGUCAAUUUUUUUACUACUAGCUAAAAAGCACCUUUCAUAGAAAAAUUAAAAAUAAAAGGAAAUACUUGGCUCAUGAGAUCUUGUAAGGAUAUUUAGUAAAGUCCCAGAGCUGAUUAUUUUCCUGUAAUUCUCUGUUUAUACAUUAAAGAGUCAUAUUUCUUUUUCCUGGUUGAAAGUUGACUUUUUAAAUUGAUAUAUAGACACUCUCUUCUUAAUGCCAGUGACAUAAUUUUUGUUACUCUCUCUAAUUGCUUAUGUAAGGCUGAUAUAAGAAUGAUUCCCAGUAGACAUCACCAAAUGUACCUAACCCAGUUAUGUUUUCAAGCUGACUUUUGUUAUUGUAACAUGAUUAAAAUACCACAUUAAUUAUGCAAAACUCUAUAAAAUUGAAUUCAACAGAGAAAAUAAAUGCAUUUUAAUAAUACAUAUGUUAUUUAUAUAUAUUUUUGUUGAAUGAGAUGCAGAAUAUAUCAUCAAUUCACAGAGAUUAACUAUACUUUUUAUACGGUUAUUUUAUUUAAUCUUAUCCAGUUAGAAGAAGAAAACAUUUUUCAGGGUGAACUAGGACUUUAUAUCCUUUCCAUUAAUUUUAUUUUAGCUUCAUAAUCUAAUUUGAAUACUUAUGUGGUCUAUUGAAAAUUUCCAGAGGUAUUCCAGUAUUCUUUAUACUUGGGUUUUCAUUUAAAAAGAACAAAUAGAAUCAAUGUCAGAAAAGAUAAAGUUUCAAAGUUUGCUAUUAUUUUUAUUUAAACAUAGUAACAGAAAAAUUAUUUGGUCUAUCCUUUACAAAUUCGUAUAUGGUUACAGUUCUGAGCACAAAUAUUUUUGGAGCAAGGUACAGACAUGGAAAUGGUAAGAUGUACAAUUGGCAUAUAAGGAUUGGUAAUUAAAUUUUUUCUCAAAUGUUUUUUAAGAAAUAAAUUGGAUAUGUAGAACGAGGGAUAACAUAAUAUAAAGAGAUAAAACAAUUGGUGCAAUUUUGAUUUAAAAAUUAAACCACAAUUCAGAGACAUAUUAAGCAAAAGGGGUGAGUGUAUAGGACUUAAAUUAUGUCUUAUCAGAGGUCAAACAAGAUCACUUGUAAAAUAAAUUUAAUUAUUCAGAAUAGACAGG